GAUCCAACCAGGUAGCAUUCCUCACCGACGUCGAUCGGAGAGACGCAAUCCGCUAGGACUCCAUCACAACCGAAGCGAACGUCGUUCGCACAUAGCGUCGAACGCUUUUUUYCGCGGGGCAAAUAGAGGCCGAGGGCCUCGUGCCCACCAUAUGUUCCGCAUCCCAGUGAUCGAGCUUCACGCCUUGGGUGGACGGCCCGUGCGCAUGUCAACAGGCGCACGAGAGCCAAUCACGACGCUUGCUGUGAGUUCCGCUCCGCACAACGACACCUAUCGGUGCCGCAACGCAGUACGGAAAACGUACGAUAUCGUCUUCGCAAUGCCUUCGCGACAGGUAUUGAGCACAGGAGACCAGCAUCGGACGGGGCUCGAGAGCGCCCGUGCCGAGGAUUGAAGAGGUGAGGUUGGGAUGCG
This 414-nucleotide unclassified non-coding RNA is filed under the name Microcorys tenuifolia. Its description in RNAcentral is "partial external transcribed spacer". Lineage: Eukaryota; Viridiplantae; Streptophyta; Magnoliopsida; Lamiales; Lamiaceae. The record is from RNAcentral.